This 495-nucleotide ribosomal RNA is filed under the name uncultured bacterium. Its description in RNAcentral is "partial 16S ribosomal RNA". It matches the Rfam family "Bacterial small subunit ribosomal RNA", at positions 28 to 507 of the family's 1533-position model. The record is from RNAcentral.
GACGAACGCUGGCGGCGUGCCUAAUACAUGCAAGUAGAACGCUGAAGGAGGAGCUUGCUUCUCUGGAUGAGUUGCGAACGGGUGAGUAACGCGUAGGUAACCUGCCUGGUAGCGGGGGAUAACUAUUGGAAACGAUAGCUAAUACCGCAUAAGAGUAGAUGUUGCAUGACAUUUGCUUAAAAGUUGCAAUUGCAUCACUACCAGAUGGACCUGCGUUGUAUUAGCUUGUUGGUGAGGUAACGGCUCACCAAGGCGACGAUACAUAGCCGACCUGAGAUGGUGAGCAGCCACACUGGGACGGAGACACGGCCCAGAGUGCUACGGGAGGCAGCAGUAGGGAAUCGUCGGCAAUGGACGGAAGACUGAGCGAGCAACGCCGCGUGAGUGAGGAGGGUUGUCGGGUCGUAGAGCUCUGUUGUAAGAUAAGAACGAGUGUGAGAGUGGAAAGUACACACUGUGACGGUAUCUUACCAGAAAGGGACGGCUAACUACGUG